CCUCCUUCUGCACCACCCUGACCCCAGCAUUUUUGAGAAUUGGCAGGGCAGAGCAACCUAGUGCUAGAAAAACCACAGGCUAACAGCUCACGGCUCCUGCCUCCACAUGCCGGCUGCCAGCUGGUGUGGGGUGCUGGGGCCAGUCCCUCCCCAGGCCGGGGCUGCAGUUUCCCUCUUCAGAUCCUAAGAUGCUGGAACAGACACUCUCUGAGCCCCUCCCUGCUCCAGCAUGAGGCACGCGCACACCUUCCGUCUUGCUUUCUGCAAAGGUGGCUGGAGGCAGAGUUCAGCUGCCAUUUGCAAGGCUACCCCCAGCCUUCGUGUCUUUGGGGGUCGGUUUCUAAUAACACAAGCACACACAGCACAUUCUGGGGUGAGUCAAAUGUGAAUUCCCCGUGACCCUCCCUCAGGCCCUGCCUCCCUCCCCCAAAGGGGACUGCCCCCAUCAGUGCAGGGACCACCCUUGUGGCUCUUUGAAGGGCAUCCACUUUCGUGGACACUGCAGAUGCAGAAAGAGUUCCGCAUCGGGGCGCCUGGGUGGCUCAGUCCGUUUCGGCUCAGGUCAUGAUCUCACAGUUCGUGAGUUCGAGCCCCGUCUCGGGCUCUGUGCUGACAGCUCAGAGCCUGGAGCCUGCUUCGGAUUCUGUGCCUCCCUCUCUCUCUCUGCCCCUCCCCUGCUCACGCUCUGUCUCUCUCUGUCUCUCAAUAACAAAUAAACGUUAAAAAAAAAAUUUAAAAAAAAAAAGAAAGUUCUGCAGGGAUUGGCAGUUUGUUUUUUAAUAUAAAUGGGACUCUACUGCUCGAGUCGCGCUGCAACCUGCUCUUUUCUCUUCGCGGCUGUCUGGGGCAGAUGUCCAUGUCUGAAUGGAGAGAUCACCCCCCCAGUUUGCUGCACUGCUCUAGAAUAUGCCAUAGUAUGCACGCUCUGGAGUUCACCUGCCCGUUCUCCUCACUGUCAAACACCUUCUAGGUUUCUAAUCUUCCAUUAUUCCACACAAGGCUGCCACAGGCUUGUGCUCAGCGCUCCCUGGGCUUGCGAGGCUGCGGGACACGCCGUUUCUGCGCAAGGUCGUUGGGAGCCGCUCUCAAGGCCACUCGAGUUCAGAUCCCCAGUGCAGUUCCCAGCUGUGUGGCCCGGGACGACUCACUGGCCCUCUCUGAGAACUCCCGGAGGAGCAGGGGGUGGCUCAGGCCGCCCUCUUCGGGUACGAUGCACCUGGCUCUCACAAGUUCUCGGAGCUACACAGAACCUGCUAAACAUGGGAAGGAAACCCACCAAAACCUCGACGGAGCCAGCCACACCCUCUGUCCAUCUGUGA
Molecule: long non-coding RNA, 1319 nt
Filed under: Felis catus (domestic cat)
Lineage: Eukaryota; Metazoa; Chordata; Mammalia; Carnivora; Felidae
Description: lncRNA (ENSFCAG00000044051.2)
Source: RNAcentral